RNAcentral lists this ribosomal RNA (503 nucleotides) under uncultured Streptococcus sp. RNAcentral's name for it is "bacterial SSU rRNA". It matches the Rfam family "Bacterial small subunit ribosomal RNA", at positions 21 to 508 of the family's 1533-position model. The record is from RNAcentral. Lineage: Bacteria; Bacillati; Bacillota; Bacilli; Lactobacillales; Streptococcaceae.
GGCUCAGGACGAACGCUGGCGGCGUGCCUAAUACAUGCAAGUAGAACGCUGAAGGAGGAGCUUGCUUCUCCGGAUGAGUUGCGAACGGGUGAGUAACGCGUAGGUAACCUGCCUGGUAGCGGGGGAUAACUAUUGGAAACGAUAGCUAAUACCGCAUAAGAGUAGAUGUUGCAUGACAUUUGCUUAAAAGGUGCAAUUGCAUCACUACCAGAUGGACCUGCGUUGUAUUAGCUAGUUGGUGGGGUAACGGCUCACCAAGGCGACGAUACAUAGCCGACCUGAGAGGGUGAUCGGCCACACUGGGACUGAGACACGGCCCAGACUCCUACGGGAGGCAGCAGUGGGGAAUCUUCGGCAAUGGACGGAAGUCUGACCGAGCAACGCCGCGUGAGUGAAGAAGGUUUUCGGAUCGUAAAGCUCUGUUGUAAGAGAAGAACGAGUGUGAUAGUGGAAAGUUCACACUGUGACGGUAUCUUACCAGAAAGGGACGGCUAACUACGUGC